UGGGGAAUUUUGGACAAUGGGCGAAAGCCUGAUCCAGCAAUGCCGCGUGUGUGAAGAAGGCCUUCGGGUUGUAAAGCACUUUUGUCCGGAAAGAAAUCCUUGGCUCUAAUACAGUCGGGGGAUGACGGUACCGGAAGAAUAAGCACCGGCUAACUACGUGCCAGCAGCCGCGGUAAUACGUAGGGUGCAAGCGUUAAUCGGAAUUACUGGGCGUAAAGCGUGCGCAGGCGGUUUGCUAAGACCGAUGUGAAAUCCCCGGGCUCAACCUGGGAACUGCAUUGGUGACUGGCAGGCUAGAGUAUGGCAGAGGGGGGUAGAAUUCCACGUGUAGCAGUGAAAUGCGUAGAGAUGUGGAGGAAUACCGAUGGCGAAGGCAGCCCCCUGGCAAGUACUGACGCUCAUGCACGAAAGCGUGGGGAGCAAACAGGAUUAGAUACCCUGGUAGUCCACGCCCUAAACGAUGUCAACUAGUUGUUGGGGAUUCAUUUCCUUAGUAACGUAGCUAACGCGUGAAGUUGACCGCCUGGGGAGUACGGUCGCAAGAUUAAAACUUAAAGGAAUUGACGGGGUCAUAGCUGUUUCC
RNAcentral lists this ribosomal RNA (583 nucleotides) under uncultured bacterium. Its description in RNAcentral is "partial 16S ribosomal RNA". It matches the Rfam family "Bacterial small subunit ribosomal RNA", at positions 355 to 937 of the family's 1533-position model. The record is from RNAcentral.